This 349-nucleotide unclassified non-coding RNA is filed under the name soil metagenome. RNAcentral's name for it is "partial contains 5.8S ribosomal RNA, internal transcribed spacer 2, and large subunit ribosomal RNA". The stretch from base 1 to 120 matches the Rfam family "5.8S ribosomal RNA", at positions 35 to 154 of the family's 154-position model. The record is from RNAcentral.
GAUGAAGAACGCAGCGAAAUGCGAUAACUAAUGUGAAUUGCAGAAUUCCGUGAAUCAUCGAGUCUUUGAACGCACAUUGCGCCCCCUGGUAUUCCGGGGGGCAUGCCUGUCCGAGCGUCAUUGCUGCCCAUCAAGCACGGCUUGUGUGUUGGGUCCUCGUCCCCCCCGGGGGACGUGCCCGAAAGGCAGCGGCGGCACCGCGUCCGGUCCUCGAGCGUAUGGGGCUUUGUCACCCGCUCUGCAGGCCCGGCCGGCGCUGGCCGACGCGAAAGCAAGCAUUUUUUCUCCAGGUUGACCUCGGAUCAGGUAGGGAUACCCGCUGAACUUAAGCAUAUCAAUAAGCGGAGGA